This is a non-coding RNA of Bombyx mori (domestic silkworm), 84 nucleotides long. Lineage: Eukaryota; Metazoa; Arthropoda; Insecta; Lepidoptera; Bombycidae. The record is from Rfam.
UUAACUCAAAUUUGUAUGGAUUUGGAACGUUUGCCUACAUUUUCCGCUAAGGACGUUGUUCCAACUGCACACAAAUUUGAGAUA